RNAcentral lists this ribosomal RNA (540 nucleotides) under uncultured bacterium. Its description in RNAcentral is "bacterial SSU rRNA". It matches the Rfam family "Bacterial small subunit ribosomal RNA", at positions 380 to 929 of the family's 1533-position model. The record is from RNAcentral.
AGCCUGAUGCAGCGACGCCGCGUGGGGGAUGACGGCCUUCGGGUUGUAAACUCCUUUCGCUAGGGACGAAGCUUUUUGUGACGGUACCUAGAUAAGAAGCACCGGCUAACUACGUGCCAGCAGCCGCGGUAAUACGUAGGGUGCGAGCGUUGUCCGGAAUUACUGGGCGUAAAGGGCUCGUAGGUGGUUUGUCGCGUCGUCUGUGAAAUUCCGGGGCUUAACUCCGGGCGUGCAGGCGAUACGGGCAUAACUUGAGUACUGUAGGGGUAACUGGAAUUCCUGGUGUAGCGGUGAAAUGCGCAGAUAUCAGGAGGAACACCGAUGGCGAAGGCAGGUUACUGGGCAGUUACUGACGCUGAGGAGCGAAAGCAUGGGUAGCGAACAGGAUUAGAUACCCUGGUAGUCCAUGCCGUAAACGGUGGGCGCUAGGUGUGAGGGUCUUUUCACGACUUUCGUGCCGUAGCUAACGCAUUAAGCGCCCCGCCUGGGGAGUACGGCCGCAAGGCUAAAACUCAAAGGAAUUGACGGGGGCCGCACAAG